RNAcentral lists this ribosomal RNA (253 nucleotides) under uncultured bacterium. RNAcentral describes it as "partial 16S ribosomal RNA". It matches the Rfam family "Bacterial small subunit ribosomal RNA", at positions 524 to 776 of the family's 1533-position model. The record is from RNAcentral.
UACGUAGGGGGCAAGCGUUAUCCGGAAUUACUGGGUGUAAGGGGUACGUAGGCGGUCCGAUAAGUCAGAUGUGAAAGCCCGAGGCUCAACCUCGGGACUGCAUUUGAAACUGUCAGACUAGAGUACAGGAGAGGUAAGUGGAAUUCCUAGUGUAGCGGUGAAAUGCGUAGAUAUUAGGAAGAACACCAGUGGCGAAGGCGGCUUACUGGACUGUAACUGACGCUGAGGUACGAAAGCGUGGGGAGCGAACAGG